RNAcentral lists this ribosomal RNA (468 nucleotides) under uncultured bacterium. RNAcentral describes it as "partial 16S ribosomal RNA". It matches the Rfam family "Bacterial small subunit ribosomal RNA", at positions 28 to 507 of the family's 1533-position model. The record is from RNAcentral.
GACGAACGCUGGCGGCGUGCUUAACACAUGCAAGUCGAACGGAAGGGCCCUGCUUUUGUGGGGUGCUCGAGUGGCGAACGGGUGAGUAACACGUGAGUAACCUGCCCUUGACUUUGGGAUAACUUCAGGAAACUGGGGCUAAUACCGGAUAGGAGCUCCUGCUGCAUGGUGGGGGUUGGAAAGUUUCGGCGGUUGGGGAUGGACUCGCGGCUUAUCAGCUUGUUGGUGGGGUAGUGGCUUUCAAAGGCUUUGACGGGUAGCCGGCCUGAGAGGGUGACCGGCCACAUUGGGACUGAGAGACGGCCCAGACUCCUACGGGAGGCAGCAGUGGGGAAUAUUGCACAAUGGGCGGAAGCCUGAUGCAGCAACGCCGCGUGCGGGAUGACGGCCUUCGGGCUGUAAACCGCUUUCGCCGGUGACGAAGCGUGAGUGACGGUAAUGGGUAAAGAAGCACCGGCUAACUACGUG